This 212-nucleotide long non-coding RNA is filed under the name Setaria viridis. RNAcentral describes it as "long non-coding RNA (SVIR_LNC000646)". Lineage: Eukaryota; Viridiplantae; Streptophyta; Magnoliopsida; Poales; Poaceae. The record is from RNAcentral.
GAGGAGGAGGAGGAAGUAGUCGAAACCUCCAACAACUCUGAUUUUGAAGUUGCGGAGGACUUCGAACUCAAGGCCCAACCAUUUGAUAAGGUUGGGUCAUCCUCUGGAUCAUUGAAGUGUGCAGCAGAAGAUGAUCUUGAAGCUGCACUUGCUCUGCCACUGAGGAAGAAACGAACUGUUGCUGCGAAGCGUGCCGUGAGGAAGCCUCUCAC